UGGGGAAUUUUGGACAAUGGGCGAAAGCCUGAUCCAGCAAUGCCGCGUGUGUGAAGAAGGCCUUCGGGUUGUAAAGCACUUUUGUCCGGAAAGAAAUCCUUGGCUCUAAUACAGUCGGGGGAUGACGGUACCGGAAGAAUAAGCACCGGCUAACUACGUGCCAGCAGCCGCGGUAAUACGUAGGGUGCAAGCGUUAAUCGGAAUUACUGGGCGUAAAGCGUGCGCAGGCGGUUUGCUAAGACCGAUGUGAAAUCCCCGGGCUCAACCUGGGAACUGCAUUGGUGACUGGCAGGCUAGAGUAUGGCAGAGGGGGGUAGAAAUUCCACGUGUAGCAGUGAAAAUGCGUAGAGAUGUGGAGGAAUACCGAUGGCGAAGGCAGCCCCCUGGGCCAAUACUGACGCUCAUGCACGAAAAGCGUGGGGAGCAAAACAGGAUUAGAUACCCUGGUAGUCCACGCCCUAAAACGAUGUCAACUAGUUGUUGGGGAUUCAUUUCCUUAGUAACGUAGCUAACGCGUGAAGUUGACCGCCUGGGGAGUACGGUCGCAAGAUUAAAACUCAAAUGAAUUGACGGGGUCAUAGCUGUUUCCU
This 590-nucleotide ribosomal RNA is filed under the name uncultured bacterium. Its description in RNAcentral is "partial 16S ribosomal RNA". It matches the Rfam family "Bacterial small subunit ribosomal RNA", at positions 355 to 1375 of the family's 1533-position model. The record is from RNAcentral.